AGUUAACACUCUGGGGCCAGUGAUUGAAACUGUUUGACACAAUUUGAACUUGAAGUCUAACUUAUUCUGGUAUUCUCUCCUUUCUGAGACAAGCCAUUGUAUAGAUUUAAACAUA
Molecule: small nucleolar RNA, 115 nt
Filed under: Castor canadensis (American beaver)
Lineage: Eukaryota; Metazoa; Chordata; Mammalia; Rodentia; Castoridae
Description: Small nucleolar RNA SNORA28 (ENSCCNG00000017078.1)
Rfam family: Small nucleolar RNA SNORA28
About the family: ACA28 is a member of the H/ACA class of snoRNA that guide the sites of modification of uridines to pseudouridines.
Source: Rfam by way of RNAcentral